AGCGGGGUGGGGUAGCCAGGAGAACCCGCUGGGCUCAUAACCCAGAGAUCGGUUGUUCAAAUCAACCCCCCGCUACCA
Molecule: transfer RNA, 78 nt
Filed under: Candidatus Bathyarchaeota archaeon
Lineage: Archaea; Thermoproteati; Candidatus Bathyarchaeota
Also listed under: 1 other name
Description: tRNA-Met
Rfam family: tRNA
About the family: Transfer RNA (tRNA) molecules are approximately 80 nucleotides in length. Their secondary structure includes four short double-helical elements and three loops (D, anti-codon, and T loops).
Source: RNAcentral